UCUAAUCGGACAAAGCACCGCGACGCGUAAUCAUGGAGGUGCGAGUUCGAGUCUCAUAACCGGCCGCCAACACUUUUUUCUGCAAACUAGGGGUAGCUUAUCCUGUUUAGGCUAUAUUAUUAGCAUUAUCCUGCGUUUGAGAAUUUAAAAUGACUUCUUUAACUUUCUAAGACG
Long non-coding RNA from Octopus sinensis (East Asian common octopus), 174 nucleotides. RefSeq lists it as uncharacterized. NCBI's taxonomy places the organism in Eukaryota, Metazoa, Mollusca, Cephalopoda, Octopoda, Octopodidae. The record is from RefSeq and is a predicted model, not a curated record. The transcript has 3 exons.